This 274-nucleotide ribosomal RNA is filed under the name uncultured bacterium. Its description in RNAcentral is "partial 16S ribosomal RNA". It matches the Rfam family "Bacterial small subunit ribosomal RNA", at positions 523 to 796 of the family's 1533-position model. The record is from RNAcentral.
AUACGGAGGGUGCAAGCGUUAUUCGGAAUCACUGGGCGUAAAGGACGCGUAGGCGGGUUGGCAAGUCAGAUGUGAAAUCCUACAGCUUAACUGUAGAACUGCAUUUGAAACUGCUAACCUAGAGUAUGGGAGGGGGAGAUGGAAUUAGUGGUGUAGGGGUAAAAUCCGUAGAUAUCACUAGGAAUACCGAAAGCGAAGGUGAUCUCCUGGAACAUAACUGACGCUAAGGCGUGAAAGCGUGGGGAGCAAACAGGAGUAGAUACCCUAGUAGUCC